CUUUCCUACGGGGGGCAGCAGUCGGGAAUAUUGCGCAAUGGAGGAAACUCUGACGCAGUGACGCCGCGUAUAGGAAGAAGGUUUUCGGAUUGUAAACUAUUGUCGUUAGGGAAGAUAAAAGACAGUACCUAAGGAGGAAGCUCCGGCUAACUACGUGCCAGCAGCCGCGGUAAUACGUAGGGAGCAAGCGUUGUCCGGAAUGAUUGGGCGUAAAGGGUGCGUAGGCGGCCUGCUAAGUCUGGAGUGAAAGGUACCGGCUCAACCGGUACAGGCUCUGGAAACUGGCGGGCUAGAGAGCAGGAGAG
Molecule: ribosomal RNA, 305 nt
Filed under: uncultured bacterium
Lineage: Bacteria
Description: bacterial SSU rRNA
Rfam family: Bacterial small subunit ribosomal RNA
Source: RNAcentral